UAAAAAUAUUCCAUAUAAUUUAUAUGGAAAUCCGAUGAAAGUCGUGAAUCGUACUGCUUGAAGCUGAAGGAAUAGUUGUGUCCUCGAUAUUCGUCAACUUCUCCAGACCAUUUUUUUUCAGGAAGUUCCGCAUCUCAAUGUAAUUUUAAAUCGCUGAAAAAACAGCUCAUCCAACUUCGUUCAAGGAUAUGCGUUAACGGACCAUGGAAUAUAUAUCCGUCUCGGGAUCUCACCAAAUACAAAUAAUAAUACCCCUAGGUCACAUACAAACGCAUCUCCAAUGUUUGGUUCAUAGAUUGAGCAAGUUAGCGUAGCCUAAUUUACUGUUUGGAGUUGACAGAAUAAUCGUUAAGAAAUAUAAAGUAUCUGGCAACGAAAUCACGGAAGACCGUAGUUGCUACGACACGAAUUUAA
Long non-coding RNA from Malaya genurostris, 414 nucleotides. RefSeq lists it as uncharacterized. Lineage: Eukaryota; Metazoa; Arthropoda; Insecta; Diptera; Culicidae. The transcript has 2 exons. The record is from RefSeq and is a predicted model, not a curated record.